This is a long non-coding RNA of Myotis davidii, 91 nucleotides long. RefSeq lists it as uncharacterized. NCBI's taxonomy places the organism in Eukaryota, Metazoa, Chordata, Mammalia, Chiroptera, Vespertilionidae. The transcript is spliced from 3 exons. The record is from RefSeq and is a predicted model, not a curated record.
GCUGGCAGCCGACAGCAGCUGUGGGGGACAGAGCACCUUGGGCAUGUGGGGCUGGGCCUGUGGCCCAGGCGGCACAGAAAAGGAAGGUGCU